Molecule: ribosomal RNA, 1099 nt
Filed under: Funaria hygrometrica
Lineage: Eukaryota; Viridiplantae; Streptophyta; Bryopsida; Funariales; Funariaceae
Description: eukaryotic LSU rRNA
Rfam family: Eukaryotic large subunit ribosomal RNA
Source: RNAcentral
UACCCGCUGUUUAAGCAUAUCACUAAGCGGAGGAGAAGAAACUAACCAGGAUUUCCCUAGUAACGGCGAGCGAACCGGAAAGAGCCCAGCUUGAAAAUCGGGGUGCUUCGUGCCCCGAAUUGUAGUCUGGAGAAGCGUCCUCUGCAGCGGGUCGGCCCCAAGUUCCCUGGAAUGGGAUGCCCAAGAGGGUGACAGCCCCGUCGAGGCCGGUCCCUGCUGCUCCACGAGGCGCGAUCUGCGAGUCGGGCUGUUUGGGAAUGCAGCCCUAAGUGGGUGGUAAAUUCCAUCUAAGGCUAAAUAUUGGCAAGAGACCGAUAGCGAACAAGUACCGCGAGGGAAAGAUGAAAAGGACUUUGAAAAGAGAGUUAAACAGUGCUUGAAAUUGCUGGGAGGGAAGCGAAUGGAAGCUGCGGGUGUGCCCCGGUUGGAUGUGGAACGGCUUCGGCUGGUCUGCCGCUCAACGCGGGGCACUGGUCAGCGUGGGCUACCUCGGCGGGACAAGAGCGGGAUGUAGUUUCCCGCCUAUGCCGCCGAGGUGGCCGAGGCACGAAGCGCGCGGCCCCUCGGGGUCGUGGGACUCGUCCCAACUGCGCGCUCGGGACGCUGGCGUAUUGAGCUCUUCAUCCGACCCGUCUUGAAACACGGACCAAGGAGUCUAACAUGUAUGCGAGCAGGUGGGCGGCAAACCCAUUGAUGCGUAAGUAAACUGACAGGUGGGACCCCCCUCAAAAGGGCGCACCAUCGACCGACCGUGAUCUUCUGUGAAAGGUUUGAGUGUGAGCAUACCUGUUGGGACCCGAAAGAUGGUGAACUAUGCCUGAGCAGGGCGAAGCCAGAGGAAACUCUGGUGGAGGCUCGUAGCGAUACUGACGUGCAAAUCGUUCGUCAGACUUGGGUAUAGGGGCGAAAGACUAAUCGAACCAUCUAGUAGCUGGUUCCCUCCGAAGUUUCCCUCAGGAUAGCUGGAGCUCGUGUAAGAGUUUUAUCAGGUAAAGCGAAUGAUUAGAGGCAUCGGGGGUGUAACACCCUCGACCUAUUCUCAAACUUUAAAUAGGUAAGCCGCCGGGGUUGCUUGGUUGAACCCCGGCACAGAAUGAGA